Silurus meridionalis is the source of this 636-nucleotide long non-coding RNA. RefSeq lists it as uncharacterized. Lineage: Eukaryota; Metazoa; Chordata; Actinopteri; Siluriformes; Siluridae. The transcript is spliced from 3 exons. The record is from RefSeq and is a predicted model, not a curated record.
GUCGUAAAGUGCAGUCUCAGAACACUGCCGAGGAUUGCACUGAAGCUCCGGAGGUAUAGCAGGCGGGGAGGCGCGAGCGCUUUAAGGUCGUAACAGCUCUCCCGGCCACGCGUCUUGCCACUGCACUUAUUAAUUGAUGAGUUGGAGAACAAACGUGGACAAGACAGACACCAGCGAUGCAGACCCAGCUAAAAUCAAAAUGUUCUCGAAUCCUUAUAAAAUCAAACCCCUGGCCGUAUAAAAGCUACCACUUUGACUACAAAUGCAAGAAAGACAACAGCUUUAUUAUGCAGUGUAAGCUGGGCUAUAAAAACUCAACAUCAAACCUGCGCAAGCAUGUUGAGGGUUGGAAAUUAACGGGGACUUGAGGCGAUUUAAGUGUCAUAUAUAAUAAAUAAAAUGUUAUUUAUUAAAGUAAAUCUGCUGAUGUUGCAUUAGAUUUGAGCAUAACCGUUCACAUACUUAUGUUGAGAAUGCAGUGUCCAAUCAAAGCAUUUUGAUUCGUUGCUGCGGAAAAUGUUGGAGAUGUUCUAUGCGUGUGCUCACUGUCUAAAUUCUGCAUUUGUGAUUUCUCUCAUUAUAAUAAAUUAUACAAUAUCCCUUUUUUUUUCGGCGAAAUGCAUAACCCACAUUAGA